UCUCCUAAAGUGUCUUGUUUGUGCCA
RNAcentral lists this non-coding RNA (26 nucleotides) under Rattus norvegicus (Norway rat). Lineage: Eukaryota; Metazoa; Chordata; Mammalia; Rodentia; Muridae. The record is from RNAcentral.